GCAAGUCUGGUGCCAGCAGCCGCGGUAAUUCCAGCUCCAAUAGCGUAUAUUAAAGUUGUUGCAGUUAAAAAGCUCGUAGUUGAACCUUGGGUCUGGCUGGCCGGUCCGCCUCACCGCGUGUACUGGUCCGGCCGGACCUUUCCUUCUGGGGAAUCGCAUGCCCCUCACUGGGUGUGUCGAGGAUCCAGGACUUUUACUUUGAAAAAAUUAGAGUGUUCAAAGCAGGCCUAUGCUCGAAUACAUUAGCAUGGAAUAAUAGAAUAGGACGUGUGGUUCUAUUUUGUUGGUUUCUAGGACCGCCGUAAUGAUUAAUAGGGAUAGUCGGGGGCAUCAGUAUUCAAUUGUCAGAGGUGAAAUUCUUGGAUUUAUUGAAGACUAACUACUGCGAAAGCAUUUGCCAA
Molecule: ribosomal RNA, 401 nt
Filed under: uncultured fungus
Lineage: Eukaryota; Fungi
Description: SSU rRNA
Rfam family: Eukaryotic small subunit ribosomal RNA
Source: RNAcentral